UCCGUAGGUGAACCUGCGGAGGGAUCAUUACCGAGUUUACAACUCCCAAACCCAAUGUGAACGUUACCAAACUGUUGCCUCGGCGGGAUCUCUGCCCCGGGUGCGUCGCAGCCCCGGACCAAGGCGCCCGCCGGAGGACCAACCAAAACUCUUAUUGUAUACCCCCUCGCGGGUUUUUUUUAUAAUCUGAGCCUUCUCGGCGCCUCUCGUAGGCGUUUCGAAAAUGAAUCGAAACUUUCAACAACGGAUCUCUUGGUUCUGGCAUCGGUGAAGAACGCAGCGAAAUGCGAUAAGUAAUGUGAAUUGCAGAAUUCAGUGAAUCAUCGAAUCUUUGAACGCACAUUGCGCCCGCCAGUAUUCUGGCGGGCAUGCCUGUCCGAGCGUCAUUUCAACCCUCGAACCCCUCCGGGGGGUCGGCGUUGGGGAUCGGCCCUGCCUUGGCGGUGGCCGUCUCCGAAAUACAGUGGCGGUCUCGCCGCAGCCUCUCCUGCGCAGUAGUUUGCACACUCGCAUCGGGAGCGCGGCGCGUCCACAGCCGUUAAACACCCAACUUCUGAAAUGUUGACCUCGGAUCAGGUAGGAAUACCCGCUGAACUUAAGCAUAUCAAUAAGCGGAGGA
This 619-nucleotide ribosomal RNA is filed under the name Trichoderma inhamatum. RNAcentral's name for it is "eukaryotic LSU rRNA". The stretch from base 233 to 386 matches the Rfam family "5.8S ribosomal RNA". The record is from RNAcentral. Lineage: Eukaryota; Fungi; Ascomycota; Sordariomycetes; Hypocreales; Hypocreaceae.